This 30-nucleotide non-coding RNA is filed under the name Homo sapiens (human). Lineage: Eukaryota; Metazoa; Chordata; Mammalia; Primates; Hominidae. The record is from RNAcentral.
UGAACCUACUUUUGAGGUGAAAAGCUUAGC